Mustela putorius furo (domestic ferret) is the source of this 134-nucleotide ribosomal RNA. The record is from Ensembl. Lineage: Eukaryota; Metazoa; Chordata; Mammalia; Carnivora; Mustelidae.
GUCUACGGCCAUACCACCCUGAACACACCCAAUCUUGUCUAAUCUCGGAAGCUAAGCAGGGUCGGGCCUGGUUAGUACUUGGAUGGGAGAAUUCUCUUCCCCUCCCUCUACCCCUCCCCCUGCUGGUGUGCUCG